RNAcentral lists this ribosomal RNA (492 nucleotides) under uncultured bacterium. RNAcentral's name for it is "partial 16S ribosomal RNA". It matches the Rfam family "Bacterial small subunit ribosomal RNA", at positions 29 to 507 of the family's 1533-position model. The record is from RNAcentral.
AGUGAACGCUGGCGGUAGGCCUAACACAUGCAAGUCGAACGGCAGCACAGUAAGAGCUUGCUCUUACGGGUGGCGAGUGGCGGACGGGUGAGGAAUACAUCGGAAUCUACUUUUUCGUGGGGGAUAACGUAGGGAAACUUGCGCUAAUACCGCAUACGACCUACGGGUGAAAGCAGGGGAUCUUCGGACCUUGCGCGAUUGAAUGAGCCGAUGUCGGAUUAGCUAGUUGGCGGGGUAAAGGCCCACCAAGGCGACGAUCCGUAACUGGUCUGAGAGGAUGAUCAGCCACACUGGAACUGAGACACGGUCCAGACUCCUACGGGAGGCAGCAGUGGGGAAUAUUGGACAAUGGGCGCAAGCCUGAUCCAGCCAUACCGCGUGGGUGAAGAAGGCCUUCGGGUUGUAAAGCCCUUUUGUUGGGAAAGAAAAGCAGCAGGUUAAUACCCCGCUGUUCUGACGGUACCCAAAGAAUAAGCACCGGCUAACUUCGUG